Molecule: ribosomal RNA, 958 nt
Filed under: uncultured bacterium
Lineage: Bacteria
Description: bacterial SSU rRNA
Rfam family: Bacterial small subunit ribosomal RNA
Source: RNAcentral
UUCAGGCCUAACACAUGCAAGUCGAGCGAGAAAGUUCCUUCGGGAACGAGUAAAGCGGCGGACGGGUGAGUAACGCGUAAGAAUCUGCCCUUCAGUGAAGAAUACCCUCGAGAAAUCGGGGCUAAUGCUGCAUACGUCCCUCCGGGGAGAAAGAUGGCCUCUUUGCUGUCGCUGAAGGAUGAGCUUGCGUACUAUUAGCUUGUUGGUGGGGUAAAGGCCUACCAAGGCGAAGAUGGUUAGCCGGCCUGAGAGGGUGAACGGCCACAUUGGAACUUAGACACGGUCCAGACUCCUACGGGAGGCAGCAGUGAGGAAUAUUGCGCAAUGGGCGAAAGCCUGACGCAGCGACGCCGCGUGGAGGAUGAAGGUUUUCGGAUCGUAAACUCCUGUUAAGUGGGAAGAAAGACUCUUCUUUAAUAGGGAAGAGGAAUGACGGUACCAUUAGAGAAAGCACCGGCUAACUUCGUGCCAGCAGCCGCGGUAAUACGAGGGGUGCAAGCGUUAUUCGGAAUCAUUGGGCGUAAAGGGUACGCAGGCGGUAUUUUAAGUCAGCUGUUAAAUCUUCCGGCCUAACUGGAAGCUUGCGGCAGAUACUGAAAUACCAGAGGAUGAGAGAGAGAAGUGGAAUUUCCGGAGUAGGGGUAAAAUCCGUGGAUCUCGGAAGGAACACCGAUGGCGAAGGCAGCUUCUUGGCUCAUUCCUGACGCUCAGGUACGAAAGCGUGGGGAGCAAACAGGAUUAGAUACCCUGGUAGUCCACGCUGUAAACGAUGAUCACUAGACGUCAGUUUUGUUUAACAAAAUUGGUGUCGUAGCUAACGCGUUAAGUGAUCCGCCUGGGGGACCACGGGUCGCAAAGAUUAAAAACUCAAAGGGAAUUGGACGGGGGGUCCCGCACAAGCCGGUGGGAACCAUGUGGGUUUAAAUUCGGACACUACGGCGAAGGAACCCUUACCCUA